AUUGAACGCUGGCGGCAUGCCUUACACAUGCAAGUCGAACGGCAGCACGGGAGCAGUCCUGGUGGCGAGUGGCGAACGGGUGAGUAAUAUAUCGGAACGUGCCCAGUCGUGGGGGAUAACGCAGCGAAAGCUGUGCUAAUACCGCAUACGGUCUAUGGAUGAAAGCGGGGGAUCGCAAGACCUCGCGCGAUUGGAGCGGCCGAUAUCAGAUUAGGUAGUUGGUGGGGUAAAAGCCCACCAAGCCGACGAUCUGUAGCUGGUCUGAGAGGACGACCAGCCACACUGGAACUGAGACACGGUCCAGACUCCUACGGGAGGCAGCAGUGGGGAAUUUUGGACAAUGGGCGCAAGCCUGAUCCAGCAAUGCCGCGUGCAGGAUGAAGG
This 384-nucleotide ribosomal RNA is filed under the name uncultured bacterium. RNAcentral describes it as "bacterial SSU rRNA". It matches the Rfam family "Bacterial small subunit ribosomal RNA", at positions 29 to 414 of the family's 1533-position model. The record is from RNAcentral.